UUGUAAUUGGAAUGAUAGAAAUUUAAACCCUUUUUAAAGUAUCAAUUGGAGGGCAAGUCUGGUGCCAGCAGCCGCGGUAAUUCCAGCUCCAAUAGCGUAUAUUAAAAUUGUUGCAGUUAAAAAGCUCGUAGUUGAAGUUCUGCUGAAAGUAACCGGUCUGCUUUUAAUAAAAGUGGUAUCUUGGUAUGUAUUUAGCAAUGAUGUCCUUUGAAGUGUUUUUUACUUUAUUGUAAUAAAGCAUAUUCAGGACUUUUACUUUGAGAAAAUUAGAGUGUUUCUAGCAGGCUAACGCUUUGAAUACUGCAGCAUGGAAUAAUAAGAUAGGAUUUUAGUUCUACAUUAUUGGUUUUAAGAGCUAAAUUAAUGAUUGAUAGGGACAGUUGGGGGCAUUUGUAUUUAACUGUCAGAGGUGAAAUUCUUAGAUUUGUUAAAGACAAACUACUGCGAAAGCAUUUGCCAAAGAUGUUUUCAUUAAUCAAGAACGAAAGUUAGGGGAUCGAAGACGAUCAGAUACCGUCGUAGUCUUAACUAUAAACUAUGCCGA
This 544-nucleotide ribosomal RNA is filed under the name Hepatozoon canis. RNAcentral describes it as "SSU rRNA". It matches the Rfam family "Eukaryotic small subunit ribosomal RNA", at positions 503 to 1045 of the family's 1831-position model. The record is from RNAcentral. Lineage: Eukaryota; Apicomplexa; Hepatozoidae.